CACGAUGGCCACGCUCACGGUGGGGUCCUUGGACAGCUCGUACGCGCAGGACAGGCCCGCGGACCCGGCGCCCACGAUCACCACGUCGGUGUCGGCGUGGGUGAUCAUGUCCGUCAUGUAGCGCCGGGUCAUCUCGCGGGACACGAUGGACUCCUUGAUGGGGCUGAACCGGAAGGACGUCAGGUCGUAGGGCGGGGUGGGGGAGGAGGAGAUGGACGCGCGGAUGGGGCCGCCGCCGGCGCGCGGGGUGGCCACGGCCACGGACGACGGGGUGGUGGUGCGCGUGGCCGAAGGGAGCCGGGAGCCCGCGAAGGAGGACUUGAGGAGGCUGGACGCGGCGGUGGUGGCCAUUGCUGACAACGAGAGCUAGGGAGGCGCUAGCUUCUUCCUUCUUGCUGCAGCAGAGCAGUGUAUAGUGAGUGUGUGAGGGACUGAGGACUGAGGGGAUGAGGCUGCCUGGGCUUGCACUGCCAAGGUUUAAGAAGGGGACGCACGGGACGAGGGCGGCAGGCGGCUGCAACAAAUAUCUUGGCUGGCGCCAUAUGCAUGGCUACGUGUAACGUGUUUGCAGAUGGGGCCGGGCGUGACUGGUCACGGGGCACUCUGGGCUCGCUGGCAGCAGCGUGGCACCCACCUGUAGCAGCAGCUGGUGCUUGGCGUGCAUGCAGAUAUUUUGGAGGGUGGAUUGGUGGACUAGUUAGAUCGAGACGUAGUAUACUUUUAUGGAGCAAGUGUACAUAAACUUUCCUACUUAUAUACUGUACUGAAGAUCAGUUCUCUACCAGUGGACGAUGAUGAUGGACUAACGACCAAACACCCCUCCAAUAACAACUUGGCGAUCCUCGGCUGAUUUAGCCCAUCGGUAAAGCAAAAUAUCUGUGGUGCUCUCAACAUCGUCCACUCGUCAGGUGAAUCAUCAUAUCUUUGUGUCUCCUUCGGGUGAUAUUUUCACAUCAUUUUCAAAUGUAUAUGUCAUAAUAAAGUUUAGCCUCAUGUCACAUCGAAUAUUUUAAAUGUCUAUUACGAGUAUUAAAUAUAGUCUAAUUAUAAAACUAAUCACACAACAAAAUAUUUAACACGGAGACAAAAAUUUUAUGCCUAAUUAAUUCAAAAAUAGCAAAUGUUUAUUGUAACACCAUAUAAGUGAAUCAUUGACUGUUGUAAUUAGACUAUACUCUCUUGUUCUAAUUUAUAAUUUGUGUGAUUUAUUUACCUAAAUUUGGUAUGCUCGUCUUAUUUAAAAAAAAUUCAUAAUUAUUUUUAGUUUUCACUCUGAUAUUGUUUACCAUAUAAUAACAUACUUUAAAUAUUGUUUUGAAUUUUUUAUCUUUUAAAAAAACUAAAUACGAUAAGUUGGUCAAAAUUAGCAAAAAAAAAAGUUAAAUGAACUAUAAUUCAGGAGAUAAAUCGGCUUUACUCUGGCUUUAAUCUACAGCUUUACUCUGGCUUUAAUCUAAAACGAACAACAUAAAAAACAGCUCUAAAUUGUGACCGUUGAAGUAGCUAUCACGCCUCGUAAGCAAAUCCCACCAACUGUACCUGCGAGAAAGAUGCCAUGCAGCCAAGACAGGAGACACGACGCAAGCUUCUUGGGCUCAACUGUACCACAAAAUAGGUCACGUCCCCUCAAAUAUCUGAGCGACAUAUAUAUUUGGGAUUUGGCCCGGUCCAUUUACAAGCAAAGGUAUUCAGUUAAAUACUCAUUAUUUUUUGUAACAAAAUUUAUAUAUAUGUAUACAUAUUAUAUCUAUACACUGAAAUAUUGUAAAAACAUAAAAUAACACUGUUUUACAGAUGUUUGGUCCAAACUUCGCUUUUUGCCGGUCUUUUUCAUUUUCCUACCGUAUGACUAGGGAUAGCAAUUGUGCGGUUGGGACACGAGUAUAUGGUUCACAAAUCCAUAAAUGCGAGACAAAAUUGAAUCCAUACUCAUACUCAUAUACAAUCGUAGGUAUAGAUUUGUACUCAUAUCAAAUACCCAUCGGGUAACAGCUAUGGAUAUGAUAUACCAUACCCAUGAAAAAUUUAUCAAUGGAUACCUUAUUAUAUUUAUACUCAUAUGUGUGAAUAACAAAUUAUACCAUAUAUAUACCCGAUGGAUAAUUAUUCGUUCUCAUGAAUAAUAAAUUUAGACGGUUAAAAAAUAUGCCCACUAAAAUUCCGAAUAUCAUCCUCCAAAUCCUGAGCCCCCCUGAUUUGGCCCCAUAUGAUUCAUGACAUAAAAGCGACCUUGCAUCCAAAGGACUUUUCUAUGAAAGGAUGAUGUUUUGUCCAUUUCUCCUUUUCUGCCUAUGUUGUGAGCGCGACCCCCGACAUCUAGAUCUUUCGGACCACUGUCCAAAUGACCUUGACAUUAGAUAUUUCAUCAGGACGCAUCAAGCAUGAGCGACGUAUAACUACUAGAUUAUAAUAACUGAAUUAGCCAAUUAUGUAUUCAAGCAGGAGGAAAGAGUGAAUUAAUUAAAAUUUUGACAAUUUAGGAUUAAAAUAGAAAAUGUCCCCAAUGCUCAUCGUUUUUUUUGGCUUGCCGUGGAAUCCAGAUCAGCAUUUUGAUGCGAUGCCAUACACUUUGACAGCACAUAAUGCACAAUAAAAAGGAGGGCACAUGCGAUACAAAAGUUCAAGCUCCCUCAUGCCCUAUCGGAUCUAAGUUCAUCUUGACUCUCAGCAAUACAACACACAAUGUAUGUAGGGUAUUACGGUCUGGUGGUCCGAACCACUCUAAACACUUUUGUCGGGGACCAUAAUUAGGGGUACCCUCAAGACUACUAAUUCUUAGCUGGUAACCACCAUCAGCACAAAGCUGCAAAGGCCUGAUGGGUGCGACUAAGUCAGGGAUCGGUCUAUUCGAGGGACUCGAUCACGCCUUGCCCGAGCCCAGCAUCGGGCAAGGGCAGCCGACCCUGGAGGAUCUCCGUCUCGCCCGAGGCCCCCCUCCAGCGACGAACGAACUUCCGGCUCGCCCGAGGCCCAGUCUUCACCAAGAAGCAACCCUGGCCAAAUCGCCACGCCAACCGACCAAAUCGCAGGGGCAUUUAAUGCAAAGGCGGCCUGACACCUUUAUCCUGACGCACGUCCUCCAGUCGACAGAGCCGAAGUGACCGCAGUCACUUCGUCGCUCCACUAACCGGCCUGACAGAAGGACAGCGCCGCCUGCGCCGCUCCGACUGCUGUGCCACUCGACAUAGUGAGGCUGACAGGCAGUCAGGCCCAGCCUUAGGCACCAUAGGAAACUCCGCUCCGCCCGACCCAGGGCUCGGACUCGGGCUCAGCCCCGGAAGACGGCGAACUCCGCUCCGCCCGACCCAGGGCUCGGACUCGGGCUCAGCCCCGGAAGACGGCGAACUCCGCUCCGCCCGACCCAGGGCUCGGACUUGGGCUCAGCCCCGGAAGACGGCGAACUCCGCUCCGCCCGACCCAGGGCUCGGACUCGGGCUCAGCCCCGGAAGACGGCGAACCUCGAUCCGCCCGACCCCAGGGCUCGGACUCAGGCUCAUCCCCGGAAGACGACGAACUCCGCUUCGCCUGACCCCAGGGCUCGGACUCAGCCCUGGCCUCAGCCGACGGUCUCCGCCUCACCCGACCCAGGGGCUCGGACUCGACCUCGGCCACGGAAGACAGACUCGACCUCGACCUCGGAGGAGCCUUCACAUCGCCCAACCUAGGGCGCGGACCGACCACGUCAACAGGAGGCGCCAUCAUUACCCUACCCCAAGCUGACUCAGGCCACGGGGAACAAGAUCGGCGUCCCAUCUGGCUCGCUCCGCCAGACAAGUAAUGAUGGCACCCCGCACGCUCUCUGACGACGGCGGCUCUCAGCCCCCUUACGGAAGCAAGAGGACGUCAGCAAGGACUCAACAGCCCCGACAGCUGUCCUUCCGCCAGGCUCCAGCGCUCCUCCGACGGCCACGACACCACACGAACUGGGUGCCAAAACCUCUCCGGCUGCCACGAUGGCAUGUACUUAGGGCGCUAGCUCUCCUCCGCUAGACACGUUAGCACUCUGCUACACCCCCAUUGUACACCUGGAUCCUCUCCUUGCGCCUAUAAAAGGAAGGACCAGGGCCCUCUUACAGAGGGUUGGCCGCGCGGGAAAGAGGACGGGACGGGCGCUCGCGUGAGGCCACUCGCUCCCCCUCCCGCGUGGACGCUUGUAACCCCCUACUGCAAGCGCACCCGACCUGGGCGCGGGACAAACACGAAGGUCGCGGGAUUUCCACCUCUCUCUCUCGCUCCGGCCGCCUGUUCUUCCCCCCUUCGCGCUCCGUCUCGCGCCGACCCAUCUGGGCUGGGGCACGCGGCGACAUUUUCACUCGUCGGGCCAGGGACCCCCCCGGUCUCGAAACGCCGACAGUUGGCGCGCCAGGUAGGGUCCUGCUGCGUGUUGACGAACAACUUCCCGUCAAGCUCCAGAUGGGCAGUCUCCAGUGACCUUUCCAGCCCGGGACGGUGCUCCGUUUCGGGAGUCUUGAGUUCAUGUCCCUCGACAGCAGCUACGACAUGAUGCUCCUUCCCCCGCCGUGCGACAGCGACAAUGGCGACCGACAGCCCGCCCGCCGGUGGCGGAAUCGACGACGUCUUCUCCGCGUGGUGGAAGAACAACAUUCGAGCUCACCCCGCCCUCUCCCCCGCCGACGGAGGAGGAGGCGGGGCAACCAAGGCCAAGCAGGAGGCGGCACCUCGUCGGCUGUCGAGCGAGUCGACGGCGCCGGCGCCCCAACGGGGGGCGCGUCGAGCAUCGACCUCGCGUUUGAGACGAAGGCGAGUGUCAUCUCCCCGCAACACGCCAAUUCGAAGCAAACGGACGACGCCAGCAUGCUCGCGAAAGGCUUGCUGGGUGUCACCUUCGUACCUGAGACGACGGUGCAGUCAGUCCCUGACGUGACUUCAUCACCGCCCGUCGACCAAGAGGUACCGAUCGAUUCCCAUCUCACGCCUCUUGGAUUCAGCCUCGACCCGCCGAGCGGCUUCGCUUUGGCGGGCGCUCUCGUAGAGGCGAGUCCGAACCCUCUGGGGUAUAGUAUGCGGUCACCCUGGGACCGGCUGACGGACGUCUCGACCUACGGGCCCUCGGGGUUCGAGGAAGAUGACGAGCCCGACUUCUGUUGGGACUUCUCCGGACUUGGUAACCUAGUGCCGUGCGGGACUUCAUGACCGCAUGCGACUACUGCCUUUCCGACUGUUCCGACGGUAGCCGCAGCCUCGGCGACGAGGACUGCGGCCCAAGUCGCGAAUGUUUCCACGUCGAUCUAGAGGGUCCCUCCGAAGGCAACCAUCUUGGUAUGCCGGAGAACAGUGAUCUCCCUAGGCCUGUGCCUCACGUUGACAUCCUACGAGAGUUAGCUGUGGUCCCCGAUCCGGCGAGGGGUCAUGACCCACAGCUCGAGCACAUCCGCGGGGUGUCGGCCAGGCUCGACGAGGGAGCAGGAGCGCUUGAGUCGAUCCGCCGGGACGUCGGGCAGGAAUGGGCGGGCCAACCUCCGGCCGGAGAAGUGCGCCAUCUACCCCAGGGUAUCCAGCACCGCAUCGCCGACGAUGUCAGGGUAAGGCCGCCACCCGCUUCCAGUGGGGUCGGCCAGAACCUGGCUGCAGCAGCAAUGCUUCUCCGUGCGAUGCCAGAGCCAUCAACCACCGAGGGGCGGCGAAUCUAGGGAGAGCUCAAGAAUCUCCUGGAGGGCGCCGCGGUCCGACGGGCCGAAAGCUCCGCCUCCCGAAGGCAGGGGUACCCCUCGGAACAUCGCGCCGUGACUUCCCGAUUCAUGCGGGAAGCCUCGGUCCACACCGGGCGCACGCGCAACACAGCGCCUGUGGCCGCGGGACGCCUCGGCAACGAGCACCAUCACCGCAACCGUCGGGCCCACCACGACGAGAGGGUGCGCCGAGGCUACCACCCCAGGCGUGGGGGACGCUACGACAGCGGGGAGUAUCGGAGUCCCUCGCCCGAACCACCCGGUCCGUAGGCUUUCAGCCGCGCCAUACGACGGGCGCCGUUCCCGACCCGGUUCCGAACCCCGACUACUAUCACAAAGUACUCGGGGGAGACGAGACCGGAACUGUGGCUUGCGGACUACCGGCUGGCCUGCCAACUGGGUUGGACUGACGAUGACAACCUCAUCAUCCGCAAUCUCCCCCUGUUCCUCUCCGACACCGCUCGUGCCUAGUUGGAGCACCUGCCUCCGGGGCAGAUCUCCAACUGGGACGACCUGGUCCAAGCCUUCGCCGGCAAUUUCCAGGGCACGUACGUGCGCCCUGGGAACUCCUGGGACCUCCGAAGCUGCCGGCAGCAGCCGAGAGAGUCUCUCCGGGACUACAUCCGGUGAUUCUCGAAGCAGCGCACCGAGCUGCCCAACAUCAUCGAUUCGGAUGUCAUCGGCGCGUUCCUCGCCGGCACCACCUGCUGCGACCUGGUGAGCAAGCUGGGUCGCAAGACCCCCACCAGGGCGAGCGAGCUGAUGGACAUCGCCACCAAGUUCGCCUAUGGCCAGGAGGCGGUUGAGGCUAUCUUCCGGAAGGACAAGCAGCCCCAGGGCCACCCACCGGUAGAUGCCCCCGAGGCGUCAACUCAGCGCGGCGGCAAGAAGAAGGGCAAGAAGAAGUCGCAAGCAAAACACGACGCCGUCGACGUGGACCUUGUCGCCGCCGCCGAGUACAAGAACCCUCGGAAACCCCCCGGAGGUGCCAACCUCUUCGACAAGAUGCUCAAGGAGCUGUGCCCCAAUCAUCAGGGGCCCGUCAAGCACACUCUUGAGGAGUGCGCCAUGCUUCGGCGCCACUUCCACAGGGUCGGGCCACCCGCGGAGGGUGGCAAGGCCGCGACGACGACAAGAGGAAGGAUCACCAGGCAGGAGAGUUCCCCGAGGUCCGCGACUGCUUCAUGAUCUACGGCGGGCAAGCGGCAAACGCCUCGUCUCGGCACCACAACCAAGAGCGUCGGGAGGUCUGUUCGGUGAAGGUGGCGGUGCCAGUCUACCUAGACUGGUCCGACAAGCCCAUCACCUUCGACCAAGCCGACCACCCCGACCACGUGCCGAGCCCGGGGAAAUACCCGCUCGUUGUCGACCACGUCAUCGGCGACGUCAGACUCACCAAGGUCCUCAUGGACGGAGGCAGCAGCCUCAACAUCAUCUACGUCGAGACCCUCGGGCUCCUGCAUGUUGAUCUGUCCUCGGUCCGGGCAGGCGCUACGCCUUUCCACGGGAUCAUCCCCGGGAAGCGCGUCCAGCCCCUCGGACAACUCGACCUUCUCGUCUGCUUCGGAACACCCUCCAACUUCCGAAGGGAGACCCUCACGUUCGAGGUGGUCGGGUUCCAAGGAACCUACCACGCAGUAUUGGGGAGGCCAUGCUACGCGAAGUUCAUGACCGUCCCCAACUACACCUACCUCAAGCUCAAGAUGUCGGGCCCCAACGGGGUCAUCACUGUCGGCCCCACGUACAAACACGCGUUCGAAUGUGACGUGGAGUGCGUGGAGUACGCCGAGGCCCUCGCCGAGUCCGGGGCCCUCAUCGCCGACCUGGAGAGCCUCUCUAAGGAGGUGCCAGACGUGAAGCGUCACGCCGGCAACUUCGAGCCAGCGGAGACUGUUAAGUCCGUCCCUAGAGAUGGCAAUGGGGACCCGAUCCCCGAUUCCCCACGGGGAAUUCAUCCAUUAGGGGAUGGGGAUGGGAAAGAAACUUCCCCCGCGGGGAUAUAAACGGGGAAAGUUUAUCCCCCGACGGGUAAACGGGGAUGGGGACGGGGAAGCAUUCCCCAUCCCCGUUCCCCGCGGGGACCCGUUAACUUGCACGUGACUAUGUUUUGUGUACCGGUUAACAACAAAAAUAAAUAAUUACCUUGUCAAGAGACCACUAAUUGUAUAAAUGUGUUCAUUUUGAUGUAUGCAUAAUGAUUUCUUACAUCUGACAAUGUGUAUAAGUGAUAAUGUUUAACAUUAAUAACAAAGAACAUAUGUAUUAAUUAUAAUUUUAAUGGGGAUGGGGAUCCCCGUUAGGAUUUAUCCUCGUGGGGAACGGGGAUGGGGAAGAAAUGUUCCCCGCAAGCGUUCGUGGGGAUCCCCGCGGAGAAAUUUUUUCGUCGCGGGGACGGGUAUGGGGGCUAUUCCCCGACGGGGAAUUCCCCGUUGCCAUCCCUAUCCGUCCCCCUCGACCCUAGCGGCGACGCCUCCAAGCAGAUCCGGAUCGGCUCCGAGCUCAAUCCCAAAUAGGAAGCAGUGAUCGUCGACUUUCUCCGCGCAAACGCCGAUGUUUUCGCGUGGAGUCCCUCGGACAUGCCCGGCAUACCGAGGGAUGUCGCCGAGCACUCGCUGGAUAUCCGAGCUGGAGCCUGACCCGUGAAGCAGCCUUUGCGCUGAUUCGACGAAGAAAAGCGUAGAGCCAUUGGCGAGGAGAUCCACAAGCUAAUGGCGACAGGGUUCAUCAAAGAGGUAUUCCAUCCCGAAUGACUUGCCAACCCUGUGCUUGUGAGAAAGAAAGGAGGGAAAUGGCGGAUGUGUGUAGACUACACUGGUCUAAACAAAGCAUGUCCGAAGGUUCCCUACCCUCUGCCUCGCAUCGAUCAAAUCGUGGAUUCCACUGCUGGGUGCGAAACCCUGUCUUUCCUCGACGCCUACUCAGGGUAUCACCAAAUCAGGAUGAAAGAGUCCGACCAGCUCGCGACUUCUUUCAUCACACCCUUCGGCAUGUACUGUUAUGUCACCAUGCCGUUUGGCUUGAGGAAUGCGGGUGCGACGUACCAGCGGUGCAUGAACCAUGUGUUCGGCGAACAACAUUGGCCGGCGGUCGAGGCCUACGUCGAUGACAUCGUAGUCAAGACGAGGAAAGCCUCCGACCUCCUUUCCGACCUUGAAGUGACAUUCCGAUGUCUCAAGGCGAAGGCGAGAAGCUUAAUCUCGAGAAGUGUGUCUUUGGGGUUACCUGAGGCAUGCUCUUGGGGUUCAUCGUCUCCGAGCGGGGCAUCGAAGCCAACCCGAAGAAGAUUGCGGCCAUCACCAGCAUGGGGCCCAUCAAGGACUUGAAGGCGUACAGAGAGUCAUGGGAUGUCUUGCGGCUCUGAGCCGUUUCGUCUCACGCCUCGGCGAAAGAGGUCUGCCUCUGUACCGCCUCUUAAGGAAGGCCGAGUGCUUCACUUGACCCCUGAGGCCGAGGAAGCCCUCGGGAACCUGAAGGCGCUCCUCACCAACGCGCCCGUCUUGGUGCCCCCGCUCCGGAGAAGCCUCUUGAUCUACGUCGCCACGACCACUCAGGUGGUUAGCGCCACGAUCGUGGUUGAGAGAUGAGAAGAAGGGCAUGCAUUGCCGUCCAGAGGCCAGUCUACUUCAUCAGCGAGGUACUGUCCGAGACCAAAGAUCCGCUACCCACAAGUUCAGAAGCUGCUGUACGCGGUGAUCCUGACGUGGCGGAAGUGUGCGACACUACUUCGAGUCUCAUCCGGUAACUGUGGUGUCAUCCUUCCCCCUGGGGGAGAUCAUCCAGUGCCGAGAGUGUCGGUGUUUUGGGUCCGACCACACACCCGGGGUUGCCCCUCGAGGUGUUUUUAGGAGUAGGACGGUGUCAACGACUGUAGCAAAAUGGUUCGUGCCGAUCGCACGAGGGACAAUGGACAAGAUUUACAGGUUCGGGCCGCUUAGAAGUGUGUAACACCCUACGUCCUGGUGAGUAUAUGAGCGUGGUUACAAGAGGACUCUCUGAUUGAGGGCACAGAGAGUUUACGUGGGUGGCUAAGAAUAGAGUCGAUCGUUCUGAAGGGGUGCCUCCUAGGCCUUAUAUACUCGACCGUGGGGCAGUACACGUGGGUAUGAUAGCUACAAGUAACUAAAAGAUAGAGAACCUCUCAAGUUUAUCCUGCGUGAUCCUCCCCGACUUAUCCUCGCACGGCUUCGUUGCAUGGGAGCUCCAGCGCGGGAAAGUCGGGUCUCCGUUGCAGCCGCUUGCUCGACGAUGUGGGCCAUCCGAGUUUGCACCAAUCUGGCCUCAUUUCGUUCUCCCUUGCUGGUUGUUCCCCCCAGGCCCACGAAAGAACGACCUUACGAAUUAUUGGGCCCUUGGGCCUUUCGUGUGGCCUUUUACUUCUUUAGUGGACCCAGGGGAUAUCUAUCCCCCACAAGCCCCCGAUCUUUGGGUUGAUUUAGAGGUAAUCAACUCAAAGAUCCAAGGUCCAAGAAGUGAUUCCCUGCUGUCUUCUCUUGCUCUGAUCACUCGUCUGACCAAAGUUUAGCUUUGUGCUUGUGCCUUAGAGGUCGGCAUUUUGGAUUGUAAGAUUCUGGACUUCAUUGGGUGCACCGGAGGUGCACCCAAUGGGUGUAGCCCCCGAGCUUCGAGUAGAUUUUAGAAAACAAUCUACUCGAAGGUCUUCCUCAAAGAUUAUCUCCAUUGGUGCUCCUGCGUUUUGGUUGAGGUUUGGCCUUUUAAUCUUGUCUCACGCCUUAGAGGUCGGUACUUUCUUGGUUUGGAAUGGUAAUCCAUGGGGUGCACCGGAGGUGCACCCAAUGGGUGUAGCCCCUGACCUUCAAAUGGAUUUUUUAAGGAUAAUCCAUUCGAAGGUCUUCCUUUUGCUUGUAAAAAUUGGCGUGAAGCUAUUUGCAUUAUGCUUUGGAGGUCAGCAUUAUGUCAUCAAUAUUUUGCUGCAGAGGUCAGCAUCUAUUUUGUCUUUAGCAGCCGAGUCUGCAACCCAUCCAUAUCUUGCUAGGUGAUGCAAUUUAUUUGCUUCUGCGACUUGAUUGGACGUUUGAUGGACGUUCUCUGUCUAGUCAUCUGUGUCGCUUCUGUCGGUCAUAUCUUGUACUUUGCUGGCUAUAUUUGGCUUUCCUCUGAUCCUUACUAAUAUCUCAUUUUUGUCUUGAGGUUUUUACUGCAUGCCCUGCACGGAUGUGACCGUUUUGAAAAAUAUACUGAUAAUUCCUGGCGUCCCCCCCCAAUGGGUGUGGGCAAGGGACGUCUUGGUACGCUGAGUGUUUUUACCGGUCGCUUCUGAGUAGUAAAGUGACGGGACGGCGAGUGUAAUCAUAUCCUUUGCACUGUUGACUGGAGUCCCAAUGGGUGUAGAGUUGCAUGAAACGGCGUCAGCCGCCUGACGUGUCUUCAGAUGGGUGGAAGUGCUUAUUGAAUGCUUUGCGACUGUUCAGUGACCGCGGUUGGAGGUGAGCGGUUGCCUUUCCUUUCUAUAAAUAAUGCCUUUGCUCCCUAGUUUUUUCGCAUCCUUUGCUGUUCUCUGCUUCUUCCCUUUCUUCUCUCCCAAAGCUUCCACCAUGGGCAAGAACAAUAAACGCAAGCGUGAGCCGACUCCACCGUCGGAGGAUUUCGGUGACUCGGAAUACUCGGAGGAGGAGUUCUCCUCCGAGUCCGAGGGAUCUCCGGCUCCCGUAUCUCCCCCGGCGUCGUCUGAUGAUUCAGACGACUCCCAGGGGAUUGCCGCGGAGGUCUGGACGUACAUCCGGGCCGUCGAGCGAUCCGGGCUCGAGGGCUCGGAUGAGUCUGAGUUCUCCUCGGACGAGGAGGACUCGGACGGCGGCGAGGACGAAGAUGACGAUGACGAUGACGACGACGGCGACGACGACGAUGAUGGCGACGGCGACGGCAACAACGGCGGCGGGGGCAGCGGCGGCAAGGGCGGCACCAGAGGCGGCAGCAGCAGGGCAGCACCAGAGGCGGCAGCAGCAAGGGCAGCAGCAGCAAGGCCAGUGGCUAAACGCCACUGGUCUUUAGAUAUUAGUAUAGUGUAGUUAGAAUAAAGUAGCAGUAAUGUAGAGUAGUAUAGUGUAAUUUAGUAGUAGUAGUAAUGUAGAGUAGUAGCAGGGAAGCGCCAACUCGCAAAGAGUUGGUUUGUAAUUUCAUUAACUUCCCCUUAAUGAAGAACUGUCGUUGACCCCCUUUUUGAUGACUCGGUGUUGCUUUUUCUGACUGUUGAACUGGUUCUUUUGAUAUAGUAGAUGAAUAACUUGCACAUCAUAUUGACGCUUCCAGAAGUAGCUGCCGAGUAAUAUUGUAGUCGGUAUCGGCAUUUUAGAAGCAACGCCGAGCGAUUGAAAGUUGACAUCAGCGUUUUAGAAGUAACACCGAGCAAUCGGACACGAGAUCGGCUUUUUUAGAGGCCACGCCGAGUGACCGAAGGUCGGUAUUGGCAUUUUAGAAGUAAUGCCAAGUGAUAGAAUGCAAGUUCAGCGUUUUGGAGGCAACGCCGAAUGAUUGGAGGUCGGCGUCGGCGUUUUAGAAGUAACGUCGAGCGAUUGAACACGAGGUCGGCGUGUUAGAAACCGUGCCAAGUGAUUGAAGGUCAGCAUCGGCGUUUUAGAAGUAAUGCGCGAGCGAUAGAAUACAGGGUCAGCGUUUUAGAGGCAACGCCGAGUGGUUUGAAGGUCUGCGUCGACAUUUUAGAAGUAAUGCAAGCGAUAGAAUACGAAGUCAGCGUCUUAGAGGCAACGCCGAGUGGUUUGAAGGUCGGCGUCGGCAUUUUAGAAGUAAUGCCGAGCGAUAGAAUACAGGGUCAGCGUUUUAGAGGCAACGCUGAGUACUAGCCAGCCGCGCGGGUUAUUUGAGGAUAACAUCCGAGUGAUGAGGUGGCACGCCGACUUUUUCGGAAAUAACCGCCAGAUGUCCAUGUGGCAUGCUGAGGUUUCGGAAAUAACCGCCGGGUGAUGACUGGGCGCUUUUUGAAAAGGUAUCUGGCUCAAGAAUAUCCCAUAAGAGUUGCGCUUUAGCCGCCUUUGCUUUUCGUGCCCUAGUUCUUGCAUUUCCGCAUCUGAACUUCUCUGCCACUCGUCUCCUACUCUGUUCGCGCAGUGAGAAGCAAGAUGGCGCCCAAGAGGAAAACUGCGAACUCGUCAGCUGCGGUGAUCCCCGCAAUCGACCCCAACAGUCAGUUACCUUUCGCAGGUAACCACAUGUCCGUUAUUUCCGAAACUGAGCUUCUCCGUCUUGCUCCAUCGGGGUUCUUCCUCCGCGGGAACUCUGUUCUUGGCGGAUCUGCCACGGGACUACUGUCCCAACCGAAGAUACCCACGAGUCAGUAGUUUAUGCUCCUUUUCUUCUCCGCGGCCUCGGCCUUCCAAUCUCUCCUUUUUUCCGUGGCCUUCUUGACUUUUAUCAUAUCAACUUUGACCCACUUGAACCCUAAUUCCAUUCUCCAAAUCUCCAUUUUCGUUCACCUAUGCGAAGCCUACCUCGGUGUGCUGCCGCAUUUUGGUUUAUGGAAGUAUCUGUAUCAUUGUCGCCCUGGAAUGGCUGGGGGGCAACAUCAGCUGGUCGGAGGUGCUAGUUUGGAGAUGCGCCGUGGGCGGAAGACCGAGUAUCUCGAGAUUCCCCUCAAAGAAUAGCAUUAAAGGUCGGCGUCUGGAGUGGUUUAUAGUUGAUAAUUAUGGAAAUUCUCUCCCUCCCGGUCAGGAAGACAGCCAGACGUUCGUACUCCGAGUUGGACUGAGUCUCCCACGGAUCAGGAAGUGGCCGAGGCAGGCGUGUUGCUUACUGAAGUCGGAUUACUGAAAGAGAGAGGUCUGACUGCUGAAGCGUGGUAACAGAUUUUGUUUUCAAGGACAUUCAGCGCUAAAANNNNNNNNNNNNNNNNNNNNNNNNNNNNNNNNNNNNNNNNNNNNNNNNNNNNNNNNNNNNNNNNNNNNNNNNNNNNNNNNNNNNNNNNNNNNNNNNNNNNAAAAAUGGGUCGGCAGUAAUGGCGGUGGCAGGCGGGUAGAAGCAGCGGUCACGUCGUCAGCCAAGCUCACUCACCUCGUGGGACAGCGAGAGAACCCUCUCUCACGGCGUUGGAAGACGACGCCCCGUGUUCCGUUCCUCGAACGGCCCAUGUACGUGCAACGGCUGCCUGCAAACCACUCGCCCCGUCGCAUUAACUCCGCGGCGGGACAGGCGGCACCUUUGGCAGGGAAGCGAGCGACGCUUCACCUUCGCCAUAAUGACCGCGUCAAAAAAUGCGCCACGUCAUCCAAUUUGUAUUCUUUCCCUUUUCCUCUUUCUCUCUCUUACAACAGAGACCGGGAAAGGGAUACCCCGAAAGGGAUCCUUCUCCGCGAAGGAAACAGGCCCCGAGCCUCCCUACUGAUCAGAGGUUCAAAGGCUGGCCCCUCGGAGGGUUCGACAGCCGCCUCAGAGCGCUCGGGCUCCGCGCCCACUACUGGUCAGAGGUUCGAAGGCCGCUCCUCGGAAGGUUCAACGACGCCUUAGGCCACUCGGGCUCCGCGCCCACUACUGAUCAGGGGUUCGUUAGGCUGGCCCUCGAAGGGUUCACAGCCGCCUCAGACAUAGAGCGAGGGAUGAGCCUAGGUACGUUCGAUACAUAACCAAGGCUCGGGCUACGCUCCCGAGGUACCCCUAGGACAUUUUCGAGACCAGCGGGAAUGAUCUUGUAAUGGAAUCCCAUCAGAGGGAGGCAUCGAGCCUCGGACCCCGUCAAAAGGGGACCGGGUCCGGCAGAUCACCCGUAGGUACUUUUGGAGCAUGCCUCCGGGCCUCUAGCCGACCCCUAACAAAUGGGGCACGAGCGUCCACUCGGAUUACCCAUCAGCAGCUCACUGGAGACCCAUGUUCGGCGCCCUCCAAGGGCAACAUGGCGCUUUUCCCCCUCCUCCUUGCGGAAAGGCGACGCAGGGGCGUAUGUAAAAAGUCGAGUCUGUCCUUGACCGUCCUCUCGCCCUGUGCGGAGGCUCGGGGGCUGCUCUCGCAAACCCGGCUCCGGCCAAACCGUUGACAACGUCAACAUACCAGACCGAGAACUUGGGACUCGACCGUGCACCCGGGCUACGGCCAGCUCGCAUGAGGGAACGACCAGACCGACCGAACAUUGUGAAAUGCAUUAGACCUCGAAGGAGUCAAACCACUCUCCGAGGCCUCGGGGGCUACACCCGGGGGUGUGCUCGUGCGCACCCACCGGAACAAAAUGCAACGAGAAAGGUUGGUUCCCUUGCAAAAAGUGCGACAAAGCCUCCAAGCGAGUAUUAACACUCCCUUCGAGGCUCAGGGGCUACUGUUGGGGUCCAUAAUUAGGGUACCCUCAAGACUCCUAAAUCUCAGCUGGUAACCCCAUCAGCACAAAGCUGCAAAGGCCUAUGGGUGCGAUUAAGUCAAGGACCGGUCCAUUCGAGGGACGCGAUCGCGUCUCGCCCGAGCCUAGCCUCGGGCAAGGGCAGCCGACCCUGGAGGAUUUACGUCUCGCCCGAGGACCCCUACGACACGGACACACCUUCGGCUCGCCCGAGGCCCAGUCUUCACCAAGAAGCAACCUUGGCCAAAUCGCCACGCCAAUCGACCGAAUCGCAGGGGCGUUUAAUGCAAAGGUGGCCUGACACCUUUAUCCUGACGCGCGCCCUCCAGUCGACAGAGCUGAAGUGACCGCAGUCACUUCGCAGCUCCACUGACAGGCCUGACAAGAGGACAGCGCCACCUGCGCCGCUCCGACUGUCGUGCCACUCGACAGAGUGAGGCUGACAGCAGCCAAGUCCGGCCUCAGGCGCCAUAGGAAACUCCACAUCGCCCGACCCCAGGGCUCGAACUCGGGCUCAGCCCCGGAAGACGACGAACUCCGCAUCGCCCGACCCCAGGGCUCGGACUCGGGCUCAGCCCCGGAAGACGACGAACUCCGCAUCGCCCGACCCUAGGGCUCGGACUCGGGAACGGCCCCGGAAGACGACGAACUCCGCUUCGCCGACCCCAGGGCUCGGACUCGGGCUCAGCCCCGAAAGACGACGAACUCCGCUUCGCCCGACCCCAGGGCUCGGACUCAGCCCUGGCCUGAGCCGACGGUCUCCGCCUCGCCCGACCCAGGGGCUUGGACUCGACCUCGGCCUCGGAAGACAUACUCGACCUCGACCUCGGAGGAGCCUCCACCUCGCCCAACCUAGGGCUCAGACCGACCACGUCGCAGGAGGCGCCAUCAUUACCCUACCCCAAGCUGACUCAGGCUACGGGGAACAAGACCGGCGUCCCAUCUGGCUCGCUCUGCCAAACAGUAAUGAUGGCGCCCCGCAUGCUCUAUGACGACGGCGGCUCUCAACCCCCUUACGGAAGCAAGAGGACGUCAGCAAGGACCGACAGCUGUCCUUCCGCCAGGCUCCGGCGCUCCUCCGACGGCCACGACACCACACGAACCGGGUGCCAAAACCUCUCCGGCUGCCACGAUGACAUGUACUUAGGGCACUAGCUCCCCUCCGCUAGACACGUUAGCGCACUGCUACACCCCCCAUUGUACACCUGUAUCCUUUCCUUACGCCUAUAAAAGGAAGGUCCAAGGCCCUCUUAGAGAGGGUUGGCCGCGCGGGGAAGGACGGGACGGCGCUCGCGCAAGGCCGCUCGCUCCCUCCCGCGUGGACGUUUGUAACCCCCUACUGCAAGCGCACCCGACCUAGGCGCGGGACAAACACGAAGGCCGCGGGAUUUCACCUCUCACGCCUGUCUCCCUUCGGCUUCUUCCCCCCUUCGCGCUCCGUCUCGCGCCGACCCAUUUGGGCUGGGGCACGCGGCGACAAUUUACUCGUCGGCCCAGGGACCCCCCGGGUUCGAAACGCCGACAGUACAAAACAUGGCCAAAUUUCACUUUAAUAUAGGGGUGUUCUAUAAAAUUAAAGAAAGUUCUUUUUGCCAAAAGAUAUGUGAAAUGGACUUGGCUAAAAAUUGUUUUUCAAGAAAAUCCAGAUCGAGAAACGUUUUUUUGUAAGUUAGAUUCCUGCCAAACAACCCUUAGAAUGUGUUUGGUUCAAUGUGAGCUAUAAAAAAUGUUGUGAGUUAUAUAUAUGGAAAAGUUGUUGUAAAUUAUUUGCUACAGAAAAUCUAAAAGUCGUUUAAUUUAACCAUAUGAGCUAUCUAUUGUAAACAGACUGUAUACUAUUUACAUACACUUUGUUUUACUAUAUCUCUUAAUUAAUGUAUCUAAUUAAAAAUCCGAUUUUCACAUUUGUGUUUGUAAUACUUUAACAAUUGAAACUAGACUCUACCUGCUAUAUAUACCUUAUUAAAACAUAUAUUUAUUUUAUUUAUUGUAACACUUAAUUCUUUUACAUUCCAUUUGUGUUUUCUAUUACCGUACCUCUUCAUUAAAGUAUUACUAGUCAUAUAUCCGUGCAUUGCUACGGUUUAUAUAUAUAUAUAUAUAUAUAUAUAUAUAUAUAUAUAUAUAUAUAUAUAUAUAUAUAUAUAUAUAUUAUAUAUAUGACAUAGGAUAAAUUUUGUUUUAAUAAAGCACAAUAUAUAUGUUUUCUAUUGAUUAGGUGGGUGUGAAUAUAAAGCCAACAACCAAGGUUUAAAUACUCACUUAUACAUAAUUUAACCUUAUUUUUACAUAAACUCUCCUAUUAUAGUAGUAGAUAAGAGAUUAUAGGAGUACAAGUUGAUUUUAAAAAAUAUAGGUUUUUUUUAAAAAAAAUUGACGUGGACGACCGUUGAAACUUGUGCUUUAAUAUAGUAGAGAAAUAAAUAAAUAAAUUAUACAAUUCAAUUUUAUUGAAUUUUUAUUUAAAAUAUUUUUACACCAUUUAUUAUAGUACUUAAUUAUUUUUUAUUCCUAGUUUACUUUCUAUUUGCCAUAUCUCUUUAUAAACACGUCGAAGUUGGAUAAGCACCAAAAAGCAACGUCCAAAUUGCUUUCAAAUCUGUACACGGGAAAGCUAUUUCCUUUUAAAGUAGUAGCACUAGCAUUCGGUUCAGUUUGUAAUUUCUAAAAAAUAGAAACAUGUUCAAAAAAGCCAAAUGCCGUUGGCUGCUUUCUAUUGCUACAGUGUUUACGCAGCGAGUUGUCGUGAUCGGACAUAUAGGGCCCAGCUAGCCAUAUGUAUCAAACCAAACGACAAACGGGUGCGCCAAAGCAUCGUACGGUAUUUGUCUGGAUUGUAUAACUUGCCAAGACUUGUAAUGGGCUGUAGCAAUCCUUGCUGCGGUCCUUGUUCUUGUCGAUCCAACAACUCUACGCCGAAGCGAAACGUUGGCGCACUGGGCGCCCUUCUAUCUGCGAGUCACGGUUUGAAAGCGAUUACGGUUACUGGGCCGAACAGAACAGAGAAGCAACACCAACAAGACAAUUUAAACCAUGCAUUUUUAUUGUUUCACCACAAUUCCAUCUUCUCUUAUUCGUUCUGACAGCAGCAGGAGACCCCACGAGUGGCCCCCACGUGACAGAGCACACGGCAUGGCGUAGCUGUGGCAUGGUGCUACACGAACACGACACACUAACGAGACAGAUUAAAGCUAACCGAUCGAAGGGAAUUCAUUCGUCCAACAACAACAAAGUCCCAGAUUAAAAGAAGAAACCCCGUGAUGGCGCCGGCCCAGAUAAGACGCUGCUUGCAUGCUGGCGCGUGGAUGCUCGCUCAGGCGUCCACGACCUCGUCGUCCUUGGACGCAAUCACGAACUCCUCGCGCAGCGCCGGCGACACCUCGGGGAUGGUCCCGUCCACGGCGUUGGGCCUGCCCAGUGCCUUCAGCGCCAGGUGCGCCGCCUUCUGGCCGGAGAUCAUCAUGGCGCCGAACGUCGGGCCCUGCGUCAUGCAAACCAACACCAAAUUAAUCAGUGAAUUGAUAAUUAAGGAGUAGCAGCAGCUAGCUAGCUGUCUUCCCAAUCAAAUCAAUCGGUGGGCAAUUAAGGAGUAGCAGCAGCUAGCUAGCUGUCUUCCUCAAUUAAUGACUGACCAUCCUCGGGGCGCCGUCGAUCUCGGCGACCUCCAUCCCGGUGACGAUCAUGCCGGGCACGACCUCGCGCGUGAGGCGCACGAUCUCGUCCUCGGCGGCGUUCAUGUCGAGCGCCUUCAUCCGGGCACGGCGCUGAUCAUGCCGAUGUCCUGGAGCCUCUUGACGCCGGUGGCGCCGAAGGGCCCGUCGUGGCCGCAGGAGCUGACCACCACCUUGGCCUCCAUCACGUUGGGGUCCAUGCACGACUGCGUGUCGUGGUUCAUGGACACGAGCGCCCAGUUGGUGACCACGCCGCCGACGCGCCCCCGCCGCACGAUCAGGUCCUCCACCGCCACGGCGUUGAACAGCUUCACGUUGGGCCGCGCCAGGAGCCGGCUCAUCACGGUGGACGUGAACAGCGCCGCGUGCUUGACCACCACGUAGUCCUCGGCCUCGUCGUAGCCCACGCCCAGCUCGUCCAGGAACAGGUGCGCCGGCCUGCGCACCACCAUGGCCGAGAACAGCUGCCCGCCCAGCCACGCGCCGCCGCCCGGGGACACGGACUGCUCCACGAUGGCCACGCUCACGGUGGGGUCCUUGGACAGCUCGUACGCGCAGGACAGGCCCGCGGACCCGGCGCCCACGAUCACCACGUCGGUGUCGGCGUGGGUGAUCAUGUCCGUCAUGUAGCGCCGGGUCAUCUCGCGGGACACGAUGGACUCCUUGAUGGGGCUGAACCGGAAGGACGUCAGGUCGUAGGGCGGGGUGGGGGAGGAGGAGAUGGACGCGCGGAUGGGGCCGCCGCCGGCGCGCGGGGUGGCCACGGCCACGGACGACGGGGUGGUGGUGCGCGUGGCCGAAGGGAGCCGGGAGCCCGCGAAGGAGGACUUGAGGAGGCUGGACGCGGCGGUGGUGGCCAUUGCUGACAACGAGAGCUAGGGAGGCGCUAGCUUCUUCCUUCUUGCUGCAGCAGAGCAGUGUAUAGUGAGUGUGUGAGGGACUGAGGACUGAGGGGAUGAGGCUGCCUGGGCUUGCACUGCCAAGGUUUAAGAAGGGGACGCACG
Molecule: long non-coding RNA, 19657 nt
Filed under: Zea mays
Lineage: Eukaryota; Viridiplantae; Streptophyta; Magnoliopsida; Poales; Poaceae
Description: long non-coding RNA (ZMAY_LNC002076)
Source: RNAcentral